This 253-nucleotide ribosomal RNA is filed under the name uncultured bacterium. RNAcentral describes it as "partial 16S ribosomal RNA". It matches the Rfam family "Bacterial small subunit ribosomal RNA", at positions 524 to 776 of the family's 1533-position model. The record is from RNAcentral.
UACGAAGGGGGCUAGCGUUGCUCGGAAUCACUGGGCGUAAAGGGUGCGUAGGCGGGUCUUUAAGUCAGGGGUGAAAUCCUGGAGCUCAACUCCAGAACUACCUUUGAUACUGAGGAUCUUGAGUUCGGGAGAGGUGAGUGGAACUGCGAGUGUAGAGGUGAAAUUCGUAGAUAUUCGCAAGAACACCAGUGGCGAAGGCGGCUCACUGGCCCGAUACUGACGCUGAGGCACGAAAGCGUGGGGAGCAAACAGG